Molecule: ribosomal RNA, 253 nt
Filed under: uncultured bacterium
Lineage: Bacteria
Description: partial 16S ribosomal RNA
Rfam family: Bacterial small subunit ribosomal RNA
Source: RNAcentral
UACGUAGGGUGCGAGCGUUGUCCGGAAUUACUGGGCGUAAAGAGCUCGUAGGCGGUUUGUCGCGUCUGCUGUGAAAACCUAAGGCUCAACCUUGGGCUUGCAGUGGGUACGGGCAGACUAGAGUGCGGUAGGGGUGACUGGAAUUCCUGGUGUAGCGGUGGAAUGCGCAGAUAUCAGGAGGAACACCGAUGGCGAAGGCAGGUCACUGGGCCGCAACUGACGCUGAGGAGCGAAAGCAUGGGGAGCGAACAGG